RNAcentral lists this long non-coding RNA (612 nucleotides) under Marmota monax (woodchuck). The record is from RNAcentral. Lineage: Eukaryota; Metazoa; Chordata; Mammalia; Rodentia; Sciuridae.
GUUUGGCAAGGGCAUGGAAAUGCCAAGAAAAUUCCUAAGGAUGAGAAGAAGUUGUUUUUUUCUAUUGUGAAAUUUUUAAAUUCAUGCUGUCCUUAUAGUUGGAAAGCCUGAACUGUAGAAUAUCUAUAUGUCCUCCAUUGACUGAGGAAAAAAAAGAAAACAGGGAUUAAUUAAUCAUACUAUGAAACCGGAUUAUUAAAAGAGGGAAAAGGAGUGAGUUGUGGGAGAAAGAUAUGAGUUGUGCAGAGGUUACACCUGAGAAAGACAGUGGAACAUUCUAAAGAACUUUUGAUGUAGUCUUCUAGGCACCUAGCUCCCAGAUCUUUGUUUCUAAUAGCAUUGUCCAAUUAAAGGUACCAAAUCUCCUUGAAGAAAUGUCAGAUUCUCAGAUUAAAGCAGGAAACACACAUAAUGAACAUGGAGCACUUUCUAGUGCCAGUAGUUAAGAAAGUGCUAUUAACCCACAUGCACACACAUGUGCACACACAUGGUGAAAGAGUCAAUUGAAACAGUUCAUAAUAUGAAAGUAGAACAAUUAGAGCAACAAUAAGAGCUUAGGGAUAUACUAUUAUUUAUAAAAUAUCAAUGAGCUAUAACUGAUAUAAAUGAUGG